CGGGAGGCAGCAGUAGGGAAUAUUGGACAAUGGGCGCAAGCCUGAUCCAGCAAUGCCGCGUGAGCGAUGAAGGCCUUAGGGUUGUAAAGCUCUUUUACCCGGGAUGAUAAUGACAGUACCGGGAGAAUAAGCCCCGGCUAACUCCGUGCCAGCAGCCGCGGUAAUACGGAGGGGGCUAGCGUUGUUCGGAAUUACUGGGCGUAAAGCGCACGUAGGCGGCUGUUCAAGUCAGAGGUGAAAGCCCGGGGCUCAACCCCGGAAUUGCCUUUGAAACUAGACAGCUUGAAUCACGGAGAGGUGGGUGGAAUUCCGAGUGUAGAGGUGAAAUUCGUAGAUAUUCGGAAGAACACCAGUGGCGAAGGCGGCCCACUGGACGUGUAUUGACGCUGAGGUGCGAAAGCGUGGGGAGCAAACAGGAUUAGAUACCCUAGU
Molecule: ribosomal RNA, 432 nt
Filed under: uncultured Sphingobium sp.
Lineage: Bacteria; Pseudomonadati; Pseudomonadota; Alphaproteobacteria; Sphingomonadales; Sphingobiaceae
Description: bacterial SSU rRNA
Rfam family: Bacterial small subunit ribosomal RNA
Source: RNAcentral